This 433-nucleotide ribosomal RNA is filed under the name uncultured bacterium. Its description in RNAcentral is "partial 16S ribosomal RNA". It matches the Rfam family "Bacterial small subunit ribosomal RNA", at positions 29 to 507 of the family's 1533-position model. The record is from RNAcentral.
AACGAACGCUGGCGGCAGGCCUAACACAUGCAAGUCGAGCGAGACCUUCGGGUCUAGCGGCAGACGGGUGAGUAACGCGUGGGAACGUGCCCUUUUCUACGGAAUAGCCUCGGGAAACUGAGCGUAAUACCGUAUACGCCCUUUGGGGGAAAGAUUUAUCGGAGAAGGAUCGGCCCGCGUUGGAUUAGGUAGUUGGUGGGGUAAUGGCCUACCAAGCCUACGAUCCAUAGCUGGUUUGAGAGGAUGAUCAGCCACACUGGGACUGAGACACGGCCCAGACUCCUACGGGAGGCAGCAGUGGGGAAUCUUAGACAAUGGGGGCAACCCUGAUCUAGCCAUGCCGCGUGAGUGAUGAAGGCCUUAGGGUUGUAAAGCUCUUUCAGCUGGGAAGAUAAUGACGGUACCAGCAGAAGAAGCCCCGGCUAACUCCGUG